Oryza brachyantha (malo sina) is the source of this 195-nucleotide non-coding RNA. The record is from Rfam. NCBI's taxonomy places the organism in Eukaryota, Viridiplantae, Streptophyta, Magnoliopsida, Poales, Poaceae.
AAUAAACGAAUUCCUGAGUUUUUUUUAUAGAACUUUUGACUGUUCGUCUUAUAUGAAUUUUUUUUACGAUUAAUAUUUUUUUAUUAUUACAUGAUAAAACAUGAAUAGUACUUUGCAUGUGACUAAUUUUUUUAAUUUUUUAAUAAAAUUUUCAAAUAAGACGGAUGGUCAAACGCUCCAUACACAAAACUCAGA